This 568-nucleotide ribosomal RNA is filed under the name bacterium. Its description in RNAcentral is "partial 23S ribosomal RNA". It matches the Rfam family "Bacterial large subunit ribosomal RNA", at positions 1 to 392 of the family's 2925-position model. The record is from RNAcentral.
CGUCGGGACAAUAAGGGCGUAGGGUGGAUGCCUAGGCACCAAAUGCCGAUGAAGGACGUUGCAGGCAACGAAAUGCCUCGGGGAGCUGCCAAGCAAGCUUUGAUCCGGGGAUGUCCGAAUGGGGAAACCCGGCGUCGUGAAGCGACGUCGCAGCGCGCACGUCUCGUGCGCGUUGUGGGUACCCGGUGAAGUGAAACAUCUCAGUAACCGGAGGAAAAGAAAACAAGUCGGAUGACGUUUGACUGUUGCGGGUCUCGCGCGGCAACGUGCGAGCCCCACGGCUGUCAUCCGUCAUCUGAUCAUUCCCCUAGUAGUGGCGAGCGAACGGGGAACAGCCUAAAUCUCAUGGAGCGAGGACGGCCGAGCAUCGUUCUACCGCAAGGUGGCACGAUCAGUAGGAUGUCCUCACGCGGGACGGCGAUGGUCCAUGGGAGGUUAUCGCGUGAUCGGUUGGGUCCGUCCAGAGACCCAGAUUGGAGAGACACCCGCGAGGGUGAUGAUUCCUAGUCGAAUCCCCCUGGAAUGGGGAGCCAGAGCAGGUGAUAGCCCUGUAGGCGAAAGGAGUCAU